UACAAGUACCCGUGAGGGAAAGUUGCAAAGAACUUUGAAGAGAGAGUUCAAGAGGGCGUGAAACCGCUUAGAAGGAAACGGAUGGACCGGACGUUAGUCUAAGGGGUUCAGCCGAAUUGCAGUAGAGCCUUUGCUGUGCAGACCGGAUAACAGGCUGUGCAGUGGAGUGUCCCUGCUGUAAUCGGUGCAUUCCCUUUAGAUGCGCGCCAAGGGCAGUGGGGGUGUCGCGCAGACCCUGAGUUGAAGCCUUGCCUCGGCGAGGUCCUAGCUCAGGUGCUCUGUGUGGUCGCCCCUACUGUCAUGACCAGAGUAUCAGCUCAAGCUCGAUACUGCUGGCAUCGGUGCUGCUCGAUCAGGUAGCCAGUCUCUGGGCUUGGUCUUGUGGUUCUGGUGUGCGGUAGGAUUCGAGAGAUACUCGGCCUUGGUGUUUAGUCUGUUACCCAUCCGACCCGUCUUGAAACACGGACCAAGGAGUCUAACAUGAGCGCGAGUUACUGGGUUGCAAAACCUAAGAGCGAAAUGAACGUAAAGGUUGCCUUUGGCAGCUGAUAUGGGAUCCAGGGCUUCGGCCUUGGCGCACCAUAGUCCCGUCUCGUCUGCAUUGUCAGUGAGGCGGAGACAGAGCGUUCAUGUUGGGACCCGAAAGAUGUUGAUCUUCAAGUGAGCAGGAUGAAGACAGACGAAAGUCUGUUGGAAGUCCGUAGCNGUUCUGACGUNCAAAUCGAUCGCCAGACUUGCUCGAAGGGGCGAAAGACUCAU
This 759-nucleotide ribosomal RNA is filed under the name Chromadorida sp. 9P8K2. RNAcentral describes it as "partial 28S ribosomal RNA". It matches the Rfam family "Eukaryotic large subunit ribosomal RNA", at positions 343 to 935 of the family's 3401-position model. Lineage: Eukaryota; Metazoa; Nematoda; Chromadorea; Chromadorida. The record is from RNAcentral.